UUCAAAGUGAAUGGCCAACGAUCGAAACAUUAUGUAGAUGAAAUCAGAGAUGGUGAGCAAGUUGACUCAAUUAAAUUGUAGGAUCCAAUCUACAAUUGAAUAUAGUUUGACUGAAGACAUUAAACUUAGCGCUUGUUGGGAGGCAACCCAAUUUAUGUAAUUAUUUUUUUUAUUUUUUUUAAUUUUGUAGGAAUCUUUGAGAAAGACAAUUAGCCAAGUUGGAUCUUUACAAUAGAGUAGAAAAAAAUGAUGCUAUUAGCCAAGUUAGGGGGAGCACCACGAUCAAUGG
RNAcentral lists this long non-coding RNA (289 nucleotides) under Elaeis guineensis (African oil palm). RNAcentral describes it as "long non-coding RNA (EGUI_LNC040213)". The record is from RNAcentral. Lineage: Eukaryota; Viridiplantae; Streptophyta; Magnoliopsida; Arecales; Arecaceae.